This 63-nucleotide transfer RNA is filed under the name Fukomys damarensis (Damara mole-rat). It matches the Rfam family "tRNA". Rfam says of the family: Transfer RNA (tRNA) molecules are approximately 80 nucleotides in length. Their secondary structure includes four short double-helical elements and three loops (D, anti-codon, and T loops). Lineage: Eukaryota; Metazoa; Chordata; Mammalia; Rodentia; Bathyergidae. The record is from Rfam by way of RNAcentral.
GGGGAGCUAGCUCAGCAGUAGAGCACUUGCCUGGCAUCCAAGAGGCCAUGGGUUUGCUCCCCA